This 314-nucleotide unclassified non-coding RNA is filed under the name plant metagenome. RNAcentral describes it as "partial contains 5.8S ribosomal RNA, internal transcribed spacer 2, and large subunit ribosomal RNA". The stretch from base 1 to 105 matches the Rfam family "5.8S ribosomal RNA", at positions 50 to 154 of the family's 154-position model. The record is from RNAcentral.
GAACUGCGAUAAGUAAUGUGAAUUGCAGAAUUCAGUGAAUCAUCGAGUCUUUGAACGCACAUUGCGCCCCCUGGCAUUCCGGGGGGCAUGCCUGUCCGAGCGUCAUUGCUGCCCUUCAAGCCCGGCUUGUGUGUUGGGUCGUCGUCCCCUCCGGGGGACGGGCCCGAAAGGCAGCGGCGGCACCGCGUCCGGUCCUCGAGCGUAUGGGGCUUUGUCACCCGCUCGAUAAGGACCGGCCGGGCGCCAGCCGGCGUCUCCAACCUUUUUUUCUCAGGUUGACCUCGGAUCAGGUAGGGAUACCCGCUGAACUGAAG